Molecule: ribosomal RNA, 400 nt
Filed under: uncultured bacterium
Lineage: Bacteria
Description: bacterial SSU rRNA
Rfam family: Bacterial small subunit ribosomal RNA
Source: RNAcentral
UAGGGAAUAUUAGAAAUGGACGAAAGUCUGAUCUAGCAACACCGCGUGUGCGAUGAAGGCCUUCGGGUUGUAAAGCACUUUUUGGAAGGAUUAGGAAGGAAUGUACUUCCAGAAUAAGUCUCGGCUAACUACGUGCCAGCAGCCGCGGUAACACGUAGGAGGCGAACGUUAUCCGGAUUUACUGGGCGUAAAGCGCGUGUAGGUGGUUCUGUAAGUAGGGCGUGAAAGCUCCUGGCUCAACUGGGAGAGGCCGUUCUAAACUGCAGAGAUGAAGGAGGGUAGAGGGAGGUGGAAUUCCGGGUGUAGCGGUGGAAUGCUCAGAUAUCCGGAGGAACACCAGUGGCGAAGGGGGACUCCUGGACGAUUCCUGACACUUAGAUGCGAAAACUAGGGUAGCAAA